RNAcentral lists this transfer RNA (86 nucleotides) under Candidatus Coatesiibacteriota bacterium. RNAcentral describes it as "Candidatus Coatesbacteria bacterium tRNA-Leu". It matches the Rfam family "tRNA". From Rfam's summary of the family: Transfer RNA (tRNA) molecules are approximately 80 nucleotides in length. Their secondary structure includes four short double-helical elements and three loops (D, anti-codon, and T loops). Lineage: Bacteria; Candidatus Coatesiibacteriota. The record is from RNAcentral.
GCCGAAGUGGCGGAAUUGGUAGACGCGCUAGAUUCAGGAUCUAGUGAAGGAUUAACUUCGUGCGGGUUCGAGUCCCGCCUUCGGCA